CGAAAGAUAAAAAUGAAUGUGCUGACAGAAAUUUUAUUAUAAAAUUAAUUUAAAAUUAUAAAAUAUUUUAAAAAAAUAUUGAAAUAAUCAAGAUAUAUAAGAAUUUAAAAGUAUUGCUUAAAAAUGAACAGAAUCGUGGUUUGGUAAGUAUAGUGAAGUGUACUUUUUGUUAUUUAUGGAUGGUACAUUUUAAUCUUAUGGCCAUGUUAUUUUUGCUAGGACCAAUAGUAAUCUGCUAGCAUGAAGAGUG
RNAcentral lists this long non-coding RNA (250 nucleotides) under Elaeis guineensis (African oil palm). Its description in RNAcentral is "long non-coding RNA (EGUI_LNC036948)". Lineage: Eukaryota; Viridiplantae; Streptophyta; Magnoliopsida; Arecales; Arecaceae. The record is from RNAcentral.